AUCCAGCUGACGAGUCCCAAAUAGAACGAAACACGAGUCUUGGAU
This is a non-coding RNA of Schistosoma mattheei, 45 nucleotides long. NCBI's taxonomy places the organism in Eukaryota, Metazoa, Platyhelminthes, Trematoda, Strigeidida, Schistosomatidae. The record is from Rfam.